GGUUAAGCGACUAAGCGUACACGGUGGAUGCCCUGGCAGUCAGAGGCGAUGAAGGACGUGCUAAUCUGCGAAAAGCGUCGGUAAGGUGAUAUGAACCGUUACAGCCGGCGAUGUCCGAAUGGGGAAACCCAGUGCAAUUCGUUGCACUAUCGUUUGAUGAAUACAUAGUCAAACGAGGCGAACCGGGGGAACUGAAACAUCUAAGUACCCCGAGGAAAAGAAAUCAACCGAGAUUCCCCCAGUAGCGGCGAGCGAACGGGGAGCAGCCCGGAGUCUGAAUCAGCUUGUGUGUUAGUGGAAGCGUCUGGAAAGUCGCAGGGUACAGGGUGAUACUCCCGUACACUAAAACGCACAGGCUGUGAACUCGAAGAGUAGGGCGGGACACGUGGUAUCCUGUCUGAAUAUGGGGGGACCAUCCUCCAAGGCUAAAUACUCCUGACUGACCGAUAGUGAACCAGUACCGUGAGGGAAAGGCGAAAAGAACCCCGGCGAGGGGAGUGAAAAAGAACCUGAAACCGUGUACGUACAAGCAGUAGGAGCCCACUUGUUGGGUGACUGCGUACCUUUUGUAUAAUGGGUCAGCGACUUAUAUUCUGUAGCAAGGUUAACCGUAUAGGGGAGCCGCAGGGAAACCGAGUCUUAACUGGGCGUUAAGUUGCAGGGUAUAGACCCGAAACCCGGUGAUCUAGCCAUGGGCAGGUUGAAGGUUGGGUAACACUAACUGGAGGACCGAACCGACUAAUGUUGAAAAAUUAGCGGAUGACUUGUGGCUGGGGGUGAAAGGCCAAUCAAACCGGGAGAUAGCUGGUUCUCCCCGAAAGCUAUUUAGGUAGCGCCUCGUGAACUCAUCUUCGGGGGUAGAGCACUGUUUCGGCUAGGGGGUCAUCCCGACUUACCAACCCGAUGCAAACUACGAAUACCGAAGAAUGUUAUCACGGGAGACACACGGCGGGUGCUAACGUCCGUCGUGAAGAGGGAAACAACCCAGACCGCCAGCUAAGGUCCCAAAGUCAUGGUUAAGUGGGAAACGAUGUGGGAAGGCCCAGACAGCCAGGAUGUUGGCUUAGAAGCAGCCAUCAUUUAAAGAAAGCGUAAUAGCUCACUGGUCGAGUCGGCCUGCGCGGAAGAUGUAACGGGGCUAAACCAUGCACCGAAGCUGCGGCAGCGACGCUUAGGCGUUGUUGGGUAGGGGAGCGUUCUGUAAGCCGUUGAAGGUGGCCUGUGAGGGUUGCUGGAGGUAUCAGAAGUGCGAAUGCUGACAUAAGUAACGAUAAUGCGGGUGAAAAACCCGCACGCCGGAAGACCAAGGGUUCCUGUCCAACGUUAAUCGGGGCAGGGUGAGUCGACCCCUAAGGCGAGGCCGAAAGGCGUAGUCGAUGGGAAACAGGUUAAUAUUCCUGUACUUGGUGUUACUGCGAAGGGGGGACGGAGAAGGCUAUGUUGGCCGGGCGACGGUUGUCCCGGUUUAAGCGUGUAGGUGUGUGUUCCAGGUAAAUCCGGUUCACUUUAACACUGAGGCGUGAUGACGAGGCACUACGGUGCUGAAGUGACAAAUGCCCUGCUUCCAGGAAAAGCCUCUAAGCAUCAGGUAACAUCAAAUCGUACCCCAAACCGACACAGGUGGUCAGGUAGAGAAUACCAAGGCGCUUGAGAGAACUCGGGUGAAGGAACUAGGCAAAAUGGUGCCGUAACUUCGGGAGAAGGCACGCUGAUAUGUAGGUGAAGUGAUUUACUCAUGGAGCUGAAAUCAGUCGAAGAUACCAGCUGGCUGCAACUGUUUAUUAAAAACACAGCACUGUGCAAACACGAAAGUGGACGUAUACGGUGUGACGCCUGCCCGGUGCCGGAAGGUUAAUUGAUGGGGUUAUCCGUAAGGAGAAGCUCUUGAUCGAAGCCCCGGUAAACGGCGGCCGUAACUAUAACGGUCCUAAGGUAGCGAAAUUCCUUGUCGGGUAAGUUCCGACCUGCACGAAUGGCGUAAUGAUGGCCAGGCUGUCUCCACCCGAGACUCAGUGAAAUUGAACUCGCUGUGAAGAUGCAGUGUACCCGCGGCAAGACGGAAAGACCCCGUGAACCUUUACUAUAGCUUGACACUGAACACUGGUCCUUGAUGUGUAGGAUAGGUGGGAGGCUUUGAAGUGUGGACGCCAGUCUGCAUGGAGCCAUCCUUGAAAUACCACCCUUUAAUGGCUGGUGUUCUAACGUGGGCCCCUAAUCGGGGUUGCGGACAGUGUCUGGUGGGUAGUUUGACUGGGGCGGUCUCCUCCUAAAGAGUAACGGAGGAGCACGAAGGUCAGCUAAUCCUGGUCGGACAUCAGGAGGUUAGUGCAAUGGCAUAAGCUGGCUUGACUGCGAGCGUGACGGCGCGAGCAGGUGCGAAAGCAGGUCAUAGUGAUCCGGUGGUUCUGAAUGGAAGGGCCAUCGCUCAACGGAUAAAAGGUACUCCGGGGAUAACAGGCUGAUACCGCCCAAGAGUUCAUAUCGACGGCGGUGUUUGGCACCUCGAUGUCGGCUCAUCACAUCCUGGGGCUGAAGUAGGUCCCAAGGGUAUGGCUGUUCGCCAUUUAAAGUGGUACGCGAGCUGGGUUUAGAACGUCGUGAGACAGUUCGGUCCCUAUCUGCCGUGGGCGCUGGAGAAUUGAGGGGGGCUGCUCCUAGUACGAGAGGACCGGAGUGGACGCAUCACUGGUGUUCGGGUUGUCAUGCCAAUGGCAUUGCCCGGUAGCUAAAUGCGGAAGAGAUAAGUGCUGAAAGCAUCUAAGUACGAAACUUGCCCCGAGAUGAGUUCUCCCUGACCCUUUAAGGGUCCUGAAGGAACGUUGAAGACGACGACGUUGAUAGGCCGGGUGUGUAAGCGCAGCGAUGCGUUGAGCUAACCGGUACUAAUGAACCGUGAGGCUUAACCUU
This 2907-nucleotide ribosomal RNA is filed under the name Klebsiella sp. BDA134-6. RNAcentral describes it as "23S ribosomal RNA". It matches the Rfam family "Bacterial large subunit ribosomal RNA". The record is from RNAcentral. Lineage: Bacteria; Pseudomonadati; Pseudomonadota; Gammaproteobacteria; Enterobacterales; Enterobacteriaceae.